GGCCAGGGCUCUAUCACGCACUGGGCAGCAUACCGAUUUUAAAUUCAAAUGAGCACUGUUCUGAUGAAACAAACCAUUCACGAAAUGUUGGUGUUUAAUGAUGUUUUAAAAUAAUUCAUAAACCACAUAACUUUUCUGAGAAAAAACCCAUGAGAUUGAGCAGCAAAAAUAUAUGCAUUUCUAAUUCUAUAACUCCUAACUCUGUUCUUACCAUAUCCAUAAAAUUGUAUGGAUGCAGCACGUCACUAUUUCAAUCUUCAUACCCUGUUUUAU
Molecule: long non-coding RNA, 273 nt
Organism: Wasmannia auropunctata (little fire ant)
Lineage: Eukaryota; Metazoa; Arthropoda; Insecta; Hymenoptera; Formicidae
Exons: 3
Source: RefSeq, a predicted model, not a curated record